RNAcentral lists this long non-coding RNA (43771 nucleotides) under Ananas comosus (pineapple). RNAcentral describes it as "long non-coding RNA (ACOM_LNC023841)". The record is from RNAcentral. Lineage: Eukaryota; Viridiplantae; Streptophyta; Magnoliopsida; Poales; Bromeliaceae.
AGAGCUGCUGGAGAGAACAGAAGCUAAACAAACUGAGUUUCAUAUACAUAGUCCAGAUCCAAAAUACAAAGCUACUCGCACUUGCGAGUUAAGUCCACUAUGUACAUAAACUCGAAACAAAACAUCUACCUGCAGUAGGAGCACCUCUAGCUCAGCACGUCGGGUAGGGCUCUAACUCGCAACGCCCUUGCCUCGAUCCUGAUCCGCGGACGGUGCAGCAGCCGGAACCUGUGGCUCUGCAAAAACAUAGGUAACAACUGGGCGUGAGAACUACUGUAAAAACAAGUAGUCCUCAGUGGGUACCGCCCAAAACAACAUCGGUCUACCCACUAAGUCUACAGAAGGGAGCAAGAAUAGUAGUGAAAUGCAGGAAUAAAGUCUACCGCUAUCAAAUACUACACUAUCAUGCUCUACACUAACCAACUGUAGGAAAUGUCCAACCUGACCCAAUCCAAUCGGGACUGUAAGCAUACCCGUCCCCGGGACUGUGAAUACACCCGUCCCUGCCCCGUUGUGACUGUCAAGCUCUAUCCACACUAACUGGUCCGUGGAGAGCAGGUCCAACUGGCAUGAGCGACACCAACGCGAAAGCACAAAGCCUGACUCCGGAGUGGCACUCGUGGGCGCUACCCAACCGAGUAUGCAGCGUAUCUCUGUCGAGCUCAAUCAGGCUCCAACUAGCCAAAGUCAAGUAAACAGGGUCAAAACAGGUCUACAAACCAAACCCACGUGCCCUCGGCACAAUCUGUGACCAAAACAAGAAUCUGGGUCCACCGCUAACCCGAACGGCACCCAACGACCCGAAACAGCCUAAACUCUGCUGAAAAAUAAGCUCGGCAUCUCAGCACGAGCGUAAAUGCCUUCUAAACUACCUGGGGUACUCACAACCCGAAUACAAUAACUGUAUAAAAAUACAACGGCCCCUAAGGCUAAAUCAGGUAAUUCAACAUAUGCCAGAUUCCGAACGCUGAUUUUCUCCUAUGUUUUAUCCAAGUCCCACAUGUAUGAUUAAUAACAACUAAUAACAUGCUCCCAAUUCAGUUUAUAUGUCUAAAACAUACCUACUUAUGAAUUUGAGCUAAACAAACAAUAACAACUUGUAAUAUUAACGAUACAUGUCGAUGAACAAUAUUAUAGGAGUAGGAUUCCGAUGAUAAACCCACCUCGUAUGCUAAAUCCAACGCGGGGCGACGUCGAGAACGGCGAAACCACGCCCUCGCCCGGACUCCUCGCGAUGCUACGACUGCAACCGUAUCCUCGAACGGCUCGGCGGCGCGAUGUCGACGUUGAAUCCGAGCUCCACGGCUACUCCCCCAAGCUCCACCUCGUGUGGUUCUCUACUUCACACUAAAGAGAGAAAGCAAAAACUAAAUUAAUUAGAGCCACCCUCAACCAAAUAAGCAUGUAUGGGGGAGUGCACGUGGCAUCCAUAGCCAUGCACACUUAGUCUAGGUACUAAUAUAUACAUAUAUAUAUAAAGAAAGGAUACUACAUUAAUUGUACGAAAAGAACGUUUUCUUAAUUAUUUAUUAUUUUCUUUUAAACUACAGUCUUCUCCUGAACGAGCCCCUUUUGCUCAUUAUUCAAAGAUGCAGAUGGAACGGCAGCUUCGUAGGGAAGCCCGUCUCGAGAAAAAGAGAGGGAUGGAAAAGAAGAAGAAAUCUGUUGAAACGGCGAGCACGACGCUGUUACCAAGUGAGGUUGCAUCACCUCUUUCUGUUCCUGCCCCAAUAUCAACCACAGGGGAUGAACAAAUAAACAUACCUCUUGGGCGAACUUCUGAAGACAAAAGCACUAUUCCUCCCUGCUCGACCCAGGGAGCUUCUUCCCCUAUUGCUGAUGAUCCUUUAUCUGCAACUCUUCAUUCUUUUUUGAUUUCAAGCCAUAGCUCCAAUGAGGGGGAUGAUUCUUCGACCAUUACCAUUUCAUCAGACACUCAGAACAAGUUCGAUGAAUGUCUUAAGAUGUAUAGCAUUGGUAUUCCUGGUCUAUCUCAGAAUCUAGAACAAUUUGAUCGGUUAUACGCCCUUUUACUUGAUUUAGCCGAUCGAUCAGACAUUACCCCCGGUAUCAAAUAUUUUGUAGCAACUUUAUCACUCCAACUUUCAUCUUUCUUGGCUCGGCAGCAAUCUUUGGGCGCCGAAUUUGUAGCUUUAGAUCAACAUUUCCAUCGUGUUGAUCAUUUUAAGAAGAAUAUCCCUGAUAUAGCAACUCCGAAUACUGAAGUGCAUCAAGAAGAUAAAGAAUUGGCUGAUUAAGAAUCGGCUCUACAAAAGCGGAUUUUCACUCUUAAAGAAGAGCUAGCUGCAGCCGAAUCUACUCUGGCACAAACCUCUGAGCGCCGACUUCAACUAAAAGAUCAAUUGAAGUCCAAAAGGGAAGAAGGGAUAAGGCUUAAAGAGGAGCUUUCUCAACUUUACAAAGUACAUCCUCUGAUGAAGCACCGAAGGAAAGUUGCUGAAACCGCCCAAGCCAAUCCCAUAGCCGAAUGGAAUCAACUCAAAGACUUAUUGUCUUGAUUCGGCUUGUAAUAUUCUAACUCUGAUUUUGACUAUGCUCCCAUAUGGAUGGAUAAUAUUUCUUUAAAUAUUUUUCGUUGAUUGGUUUUUCACUUGACCCAUCUCUGUUUUCCAAAUAAUAUGCAUUUUCUCUUGUGAUUCGGCUAAUCUGAAAUGGUCCUUCCCAAUUAGGGGAUCAUUUCCCAUACAUUCGGUCUUUUUGACCGAUUGGAAAAACUAGCCGAAGUACUAAAUCACCGACGACAAAUAUUUUUAAUCGAACUUUCUUAUUGUAUGCAUUACGUAUUCGGCUUUGGUAUGCAUGCAUAUUAUCCAAAGCUAUCAACCGAGUAUAUGUUAAUUCCUCUGUUUUGUCUUUCAUUAACUCACUAUAUUCAUCAGCCGAACGAUUUUUUUGUUUUUCUAUCCUUAAAGAAGGAACUGUUAUCUCGGCUGGGAUUACAGCCUCAUGGCCGUAUACUAAUUGGAAUGGUGUCAUCCCUGUUGCCGUUUUAACUGAAAUUCGGCAUGCCCAUAAUACUUCGAAAAGUUUUUCAUUCUAUUUUCUCGGAUGCUUCCCGAUAUGUCGUUUCAUAAGGUUAAUGACUAUCUUAUUUGCUGCUUCUACAUGUCCAUUCGCUUGAGCAUAAUAAGGAGACGAAUGAAGCAGCUUUAUUUUUCGAGACUCGAUGAACCGAACAAACUGUCCUCCUGUGAACAUUGUCCCUUGGUCGGUUGUGACGGUCUCAGGAAUUCCGAAACGAUGAAUUAUAUGAUCUUCAACAAAAUCAAUAAUUUUCUUUUGAGUAACCAACCGAGUAGGUUUGGCUUCCACCCACUUAGUAAAAUAAUCGAUAGCUACUAUUAGAAAUUUGUGACCAGCCGAGGAAUUCGGCUGAAUUUCUCCAAUUAAAUCAAUGGCCCAUCCUCGGAAAGGCCAUGGUUUAAUUAUUCCGUACAUCUCAGAGGCAGGGACCCUCUGAAUCGGGCCAUGAAAUUGACAUUCUUGGCAACCUUUAACAUAUUCUAUGCAAUCUUGAUGCAUAGUCGGCCAAUAAUAUCCUAGGUGCCGAAUUGUUCAUCUUAACUUUUUUUCCGCUAGAUGGGUUCCACAUAUUACUUCAUGUGUUUCUCCCAUUACUAAUAGAGCUUCUUCAGGCCCUAAGCAUUUUAAUAGAACUUCUUCGGCUGUUCUUUUGUAAAGUUGACCAUCCAACAAACAAUAGCCGAGAGCUCUUCUUCGAAUAUUAUAAUCGACCCUUAUAUUAGGAUCCUCCAAAUAUUUAAUCAAUGAUUUCCUCCAAUCUUCUUUCACUUCUAUAGGAGCUAUAAUCGGUUCUCGUAUGUGAACCGAAGGUAGUAAUCUCCUCUGUAUUACUAUUAACUCUGACUUCGGCUCUCUGUAUCCUGAAGCCGAUUGGGCCAAUUCAUUUGCCUUUUCAUUUUCCUGUCUACUCAAAUGUUCAAAUUCGGUUUCUCCGAAGUUGCAUAAUAAUUCUAUUGUCUUCCUCAAAUAAUUUUGCAAACUCGGAUUCUCACAUCGGUAUUCUCCGUUAACCUGCUUGAUUACUAACUGUGAAUCACCGAUAACUUUGAUUGACUUUGCUUUCAAUUCUUGCAAUAUUUCAAGGCCGAUUAUCAAGGCCUCAUACUCAGCUUGGUUGUUAGAACAACCGAAAUCUAGUUCAAAUGCAAAUUGAUAAAUAUGACCUUCAGGAGAUUGUAUCAUUAUCCCUGCUCCUGUAGAUUCGGUUGUUUUUGAACCGUCAAAGUACAACUUCCAAGGUUGACAGCCGAUCAAACUUUGUUUUGACUCCUCGAUCUCUACACAUGGGUGAUCAGCUAAAAAGUCGCCUAUAGCCUGACCUUUAACAGUUUUGCCGGGAACAUAAUUAAGAGAAAACUCGGAUAAAACUAAUAUCCACUUUCCAAUCCGCCCUCUUAAUACUGGCUUAGAUAACAUAUAUUUUACCAAAUCGGUUUUGCAUAUUACCGAUACUUCUGUUGAUAAAAUAUAAUAUCUCAAUUUCGUGCAUGCGUAAUAUAAAGUUAAACAUAAUUUUUCUAUAGCCGAGUACCGUUUUUCUGUAUCUAACAGACGUCGGCUUAGGUAAUAAAUGGCCUGCUCUUCCUUCUCUUCAUUUUCUUGAGCCAGCAAACAUCCUAAAUUUUCGUCUGCAGCCGAUAUAUAUAACUUUAUCGGCUGAUUUGGCUUUGGAAGUACUAGUACUGGAGGAUUUGAUAAGUAUUUUUUUAUAUUUUCAAAUGCCUCCUGCUGUUCCUCUGCCCUAACGAAUUCUUCUUUAUCUUUCAGCCGAAGUAAUGAAGUAAAAACUCCGAUUCUUCCGGCUAGAUUAGAUAUAAACCGCCGAAGAUAAUUAAUCUUCCCCACAGACUCUGUAGCUCCUUUUUGCACUUGGGUGGCGGUAAUUCUAAUAUUGCUCUCGCCUUAUUUUUAUCAAUUUCGAUUCCUUUCUUAUGCACAAAAAAUUCCAGAAAGUUCCCUGCAGAAACUCCAAAAGCGCAUUUCAAAGGGUUCAUCUUUAAAUUAUAUUUUCUCAUUCUCUCAAAAGCGAGCUUUAAAUAGAUCCAAUGUUCGGCUUGUGACUUGGAUUUGACAACUAUAUCAUCGAUAUAUACUUCCAACAUUUUGCCGAUUAAGUUAUGGAAAAUAAAAUUUAUUGCUCUUUGGUAAGUGACUCCGGCAUUCUUUAAGCCGAACGGCAUAACAACCCAUUCAAAGGUUCCAAUUGAACCGGGACAUUUGAAAGCCGUUUUAGCCACAUCUCCCUCAGCAAUAUAAAUUUGAUUAUAACCAGCAUCUCCAUCCAUAAAGGACAGAGUUUCAUUACCAGCAGCCGAAUCUACUAACAUAUCGGCUAUUGGCAUUGGAUAUUCGUCUUUAGGUGUAGCUAAAUUCAAGUUCCUAAAAUCGAUACAAACUCUAAGUUUGCCAUUCUUUUUACGCACUGGAACUAUAUUAGACACCCAAUCAACAUAACGGGCCGCUCUAAUAAAUCCGGUCUUUAAAAGAUUUUCGAUUUUAUUUUUAAUUUGGAAUAUAAUACUCGGCUCAAACCUACGAGCCGGUUGUUUAAAAGGCUUGAACCCUUUUUUGAUGGGCAACCGAUGCUCUACAAUCUCUCGGCUUAGACCUGGCAUUUCUUCAUAGCUCCAGGCGAAGCAAUCCUUGUACUCCUUCAACAGCUUCUUCAAUUCUUCCUGUUGCUGAGCCGACAGCUUGGAACUUAUAAACGUCGGCCUGUUGUCUUCAUAAGACCCCAGGUUUACUUCUAUCAACAAAUCCUGGGUCUCCAGCUUCUUCUCGUCGACUUUAAUAGGCGAUUCUUCAAGCUUCAUUUCCGUUGUUUGCCUAUUCAUCUCAUAUGAUUUAUCAGUCUCUAUGACCGAUUUCAUUUGACCUUUUUCCUCGGCUUUAUGUGCCGAAUCUUUUAUGGCUUCCUCGGCCUUAUUGGCCGAAUUGCCAAACGUUAACACAUCGGCUAUAGCAGCCGAAUCAUCCCCAUAGCCGAUCUUGUUGAUCGACUCAUUCUGUAGAGGCUUAUGCCAAGCCUCUAUUCUUGACUUUUGGGACUCCAUUUUAACCAUUUGGGUGGCUCUUCAUCAGCCACCAUAGCAUUGAUAUCUUUGGAGAGAAUUAAUUGAAUCCCCUCCUCCGUUACUCUUACAAACGAAAUCUGAUCUGGGUCAGCAUCGGCCCAAUUGGUAUGACCGAUGUCCUCCAUGUUAACAUCUAUCAUUUGAGGCCGUCCCUCGGCCCGGAUUUCUUCUACUUUGUCCCCUAUCCACUAGAACAAUUUCCCGUGGAGUGUAGAGGGUACGCACUCAUUUGAGUGUAUCCAAUCUCUUCCUAAUAGUAAGUUGUAGUGGCUAUCUGCAUCUACUACAAAAAACGCAGUUUUUAACGUUUUUGAGCCUACCGUGAGUUCGGUGGUGAGCACUCCUCGAGCUUGCUGACCGUUUCCUGUGAAAUCGGUCAUGAUUGAAUCGGUGGGCUUCAAUUCGUCUUCAUCUUUGCCCAACUUCUUAAAAAAGAAAGUAGGCAUCACAUUGACCAUGGCUCCGCCGUCUACCAUGACUCGGCCUACCGGCCGACCUUCGAUUAAAGCUUUUAUAAAGAGAGGCCUUAUGAACCUCGUUUGCAUGGCCGAUGGUUUCUCAAACACCACUGCAUCGGCCUGUCGAACAUCCUCUAGCUGCAAUUGGGCUACUGUAAGCCCAUUUUCUUCUUCCUCUCUGAAUUCCUUGUACUCAACAAACUCUGCUUUGAAGGAUUGAGGCAAAGCGUACACCAUACUCACCUCGGCCGGUGAUUCAUCAGCCGACUUUCCUUUGAUUUUCUGUUUCUUCUCUUCUGACUCCUUGACCGUUUCGGCUGAAGGGUCGCUUUCCAUACGGACCUCCCUCUCUUUAGGAGGCCAUCUUUCUCUCUUGAUCAUUGUCUCGAGGGAAGCUAUUUUAUCUUCUAACUCCCUCCUGGUCAUUUUUUCUUCUAACUCGGCCUCGGUUGGCCGUUCUAUUCUUGACUUCAACUGGAGGGCAGGCGAUGAGCCGCCUGCCUCGUGGUCAUUUCUCAUCGGACGAAAAGGGUGCGAUCGCUCCUCAGGGCAUCUCCAUACAUUGAGCCUCAUCCCUUUCGCCUUUUCAUAAUUUUGUCUUGCCUCUGCUUGCAUCCUCUGCUGCCGACGCUUCUGAUUUUUUGUUAACAUCGGCUCCUGCCAUCUGGCCGAUGGUUUAAUUUCGACUUCGUGCCAUUCAUCUACUGGCACAUUUGCUGGUACUUUUACCGUUCUUAAAUGAUUUUUUAGAAUUUCUCUUCUUUCCCAUGGUCUCGGCCAAGGCUGAAUGCCGAGUUCGUUGACUAGCCUUCGACCGAGAAAUCUAUGUCUCCCUUGGUCAUUCCUUCAAAUUCCGGUUCUGGUCUCGGCCUGGCUUGUUGUUACUAGUGUGGCCGAUAUCCAGGGAACCUUUGCUUGGAGCCGAAUGGUCUAUCCUGGUAAUCCCAUCGGCCAUGACGUUCUCCACGCCUAUUGUUGUAGUAAUCAUACAGAAUCUUCUGCAUCAGCAUAUCUUUCUUGCGUUGAACCGAAUCUACUUCCGGUUCAGUGUCAUCAGAGGCUGCAUCCGAGCCUUCUUCUUCUUGGUCUUCACCAUCGGGAAUGUCAUCCCAAUCCUCAGGGAACGCCAUCAGCUCAUUCCAUUCGUUCCCCCUUUUCUUGGCAUUCACGAUAGCUUUCCAGUCUUUUUUCGUCAUUUCGGCCUUGCACUUGAUGCAUAGCCGAAGAUGUUUUUUGGCAUGGGGUACAUUGUCAGCGGUCUCCUUGUCCAAAACUUCCUUUCCUUUAAUAUUCACCAUGUUGACCUGAAAUGGAGAUGAACUUUUGUUAAUUAUUUGAUUUUCGUUUUUCUAGUCGACCAAUAUGAGUCGACCCUCUUCUAUUUCUUCUUGGAUCUGCCUUUUCGCAGUCGCUUUUUCUUUCCCUUUCAUGUUCACGGCAUUGACCUGUGAUGGAAAAGGAUUCUUAUCAAUUUCCAUACCUUUAUUUUCUUGGUCGGCAAAGAUCAGCCGACCCUCAUUUAUCUCUUUUUGAAUUUGCAUUUUAAAGGCAGUACAUUCACUAGUUUUAUGGCUCCAUGAAUUGUGCCAUUUGUAGUAUUUUCUGCGUUUUAGUUCUUCUACAGGAGGUAUAGUUUGACCUUCCUGUAGUUUAAUUCGUCCAUCCUUUAACAACCGAUCGAAAAUAAGAUCGGCCUUUGCUAUGUCAAAUGAAUAAUUAAAUGCUGAUAUUUGUGCUUUUACUUCUCUUGACUUAGCAGGUUUUAGCAAAGCACACUUGUACGGUUGACUAUUCAUCACCAUCUCGGCAGCACAGAUUUCGACUUCAUCAGCCGAAUCUUCUGCCUCCUCAGAUGAAUUCGGCUCUUCCUGAGCCGAGGACUCUUCAAAGAAAGAAAUAUUUUUCUCCUUCCCUUUAUUCCAAUCUUUGUUUCGGCUCCAUCUAGGCCGAUCCUCAUUAUUCCCUUUUCGAAAUUGCUCGUAUUGAGCAACUCAAACUCCCAAAUCAAAAAGAUUUGGAAAGAACUUGUCUUCAAAAUGAUCUUUGAUCUUAAAAUGCAUGCCGUUGAAUGCCAUUUUAGCAAACUCUGAUUCCGGCAUUCUCACAAAAUAUCGGCUUCGAGCUGUCUUGAAUCGGUUUAAAUAUUCAUCAACCGAUUCUCCUGUUUUCUGUCUAAAUUGAGCCAAAUCCGCAACCGACAACUCUGGCUCGGUUCUAUAAAAUUGCUUAUGAAAUCUACCCUCUCAUUCGUCCCAAUCUCGGACGGAAUUAGCAGGUAAACUUGUAUACCAGGUGAAGGCAGUCUUGGUCAAUGAAGUAUUGAAUAACCUUAAUUUUAGAAAAGGAUCUGCCGCCGCUUCACGGCAUUGAGCUGUAAAUCGAGCGACAUGUUCGACUGUAUUUUCGGUCUCAUAGCCGAAAAAUUUGUCAAAUUUCGGCAUCUUCGAAUUUGCCGGAUAUGGAUGUUCUACAUCUAUAUUAGCAGGAUAUGGUGAUCUGAAUAUAGGCCGCAUUGCCAGCCUUGUGCCUACUCCGAAAGUAUUCCGGAUAGCUUCUUCUAUUUGUGCAUAUAUCUCAUUAUUAAUUCCCUGCAAAGGGGCUUGCGCUGGCACUGGGUUCGGUGGUUGUUGAACACCAAGAUUCUGUACUAAGGGGUUAACCCCUUGUACAUUCGGAGCCUGCCCCCUAGCCCCUACAUUUUGGGGCUGGUAGGCUGCAACUGGAGGGGGUGGAGGUAACCCCCAAGCCACUUCCGGCUGUUGACCGGUGUUACCAACAACCGGUCUAUAAGCCGCUUGAUACUGUGCCCCAUGGUAUUGGGGCUGACCAACUGCCGGUAUUACUGGAUUCUGUAACACCGGUGUUAUCACAGGCGCUUGUAGGCCUGCUAUCGGCUGUUCAUUCCGAGCUAACAACUGUCCUAUUCGGGCUAUAUUCUCGUUAGAGGCCGUGAUUGCUGCCAAAAUGGCAUCCAACUGUGCAGUACUCGCAUGACUAUUUUGGUCCAAAGUUUGUAGGACCCGAGUCAUUUAACCGAGCGCCUGGGUCAAACUAGGCUCAUGUUGGCCAGAUUGACCACUUGUUUCACCCUCAGCGGGCAAGACUGCUUGGCGCUCUAUCAUACUUUCUGAAUUACUGGGCUGUUCACUCCCAGAAUUUCUAGGGAUAGCCCUAUUACGAAGAUUUAUGGCGUUAUCAUCAGCCAUGCUUUAUAUAAAAUGCAAAUUUACCUUAAAUGUGUGAGUCCCACCGGGCGUGCCAAAAAAUUGUUGGUGGCCGAAAGUCCCGACCCUUGACCCGGUCAAGUAUUCUCCUCGGGAAGAGCGUCGGGAUGAUGAGCGGCCGCGGAUGAUGACCCUCGAAGUUUGCGCCCACGACGGAUCAAGUGAUUCGGCCGAUGAGGGAUCGAAUCAGCCGGGUUCGAAGACCUCUGCAGUAAACUCGCUUCGGCAGGAUGAACCGAAUGGAGAGGGAAAGCCCAGAAUUCGACUGAGAGAUGAGCCGAAUGGCUAGACAACUCGAGAUUUGAUCGGCAGGAAGAGUCGAUGAAAUGACUUUCUAUUGAAUAGCAAAUGGGAAAAAGUACAAGCACAGGAGAGUAAUGCCCGUAGGGCAGACAGACUCCAAGUAUGAGAACAGGGGAGUGAUGCCCGUAGGGCAGACAGACUCCGAGUAUGCUAGAUUACAGGAACUACUUCUAAGGAAAGCGGUAAAUGCGAGAAUAGAAAGAUCCAGGAAAAUAAAGAUAGUCUUUUGUGCGCAGGGGCGAAGACCCUUUUUCAGGGUAUCGUAUGCCUAUUUAUAGAACCGCCCUUGCGUUAGUUAUUGCUCUUGCACGAUCAGCCACUAUCUCCUGAUUCGUAGAACCAUCUUCGGCCGAUCGGAACCGCUCAUAACCGCUUGCGGUUGCUACGCUUUUUGAACAGACGCGGCUCAUAGCUUCUGGCGCGUCUUGUAUACUCCUGGUCCACCAUUUUGACAUGGGUCAUGGACGUAGCCCUGGCUUGCCAGCUGUCCGCACCGAAUUGGCUCAACAAUUUUCAUACUGGAUUCAAACUAUUAGUACUUUCUUAAAAAAGAUAUACUAAUCUUUAACAAUAUGUCAACCCAAAUGAUUCCAUAAGUUUGUAACAAACUCGACAUUUCAAAUAUAAAAUAUAAAAUAUUUUCGAAAUAUUACAAAUUUUAAACCAAAAGAUCCUAAAUAUAAUACGAAAAUUUAGCUCAUUAAUUAGUGAAGGCGGGGAUCUAAUUCAUUAACUUGGCUUUGGUAAAAUUAUUGCUAGUUUUCAAAAAUAAUUUUUAAUAUUUUAUAUUCAACAUUUAUCCUCAUAUUUUAUUUGAGACUUUUUGCUAGAUCAAACAUGUGGAUUUGAACUAAAUGAGAGAAAAUUAAAUAAAGCUAAGAACAUGCUAAAAUUCGAAUCAAGACUUUACAUUUUGAUAUAUACUAUGUUUUUCGAAAAAAAAAAAAUGCUACUACUAGCUACUCCUGCCUUCGACUAGAAUACUUGUCUUUCGAAAAUCGCCUGAUAGUUGGAAGAUAUAAUAUUGUUGUUCUUGUGAAAGAGGGGACUUUACUCUAAUGAUCUGUGCAGUACAAAUCAGAAUUCGACUUUUCUUAUAAGCUCAAAUUUUAUUUGAAAAUUGAAUUGUGAUAACUUAAUUCUAAUAAUUUCGACCGGUCCUUCAAAAAAAAUUCAAAACAGAAUCCUGUUAAAUUGGCUGAAUUUUUUUUUUUAGAGAGAAAGAUAACAUGCUAUCCACUUCGUUUAUUUCAUUUAGAAAUAAAUUUAGCUGGAAAUGUGAAUCAACUAGGAUUCGAAUUUGGAUCUCGGGUACUAAUCAUUAAGCCCUUUUGCCACUUGCACUAGGAACGGUCGGUAUUGGCUGAAAUAUUAUGCUAACAACUAUACACAUGUAUGUUUAGAAAUUUUAGAGAGUUUUUUAUGUGUUUUUUUAAUUUUCUCUUUUGAAAAGUUAUUGUAGAAAAAUUUCCAUAGUGAGAGAGAACAUUUUCCUAUACGUUACAAGACGUUCAAGUCACGUUCUAAUUGGAACUUCAGAAACAAACUAAAAGCCAUUAUUAGCUGUCUAGAUAAUGACGGACAGGUCAAUAUAAAAGUCAGUGAAUGUACUUAAUUACUCUCGGCGAUAUAACUUUCAAAAUCUAACCAACAUUUCAUAUGGUUAAGGGGCCGUUUGGUCCACGUAAAAUUAUAAAAAAUAAUUUUUGAUGAAAAAAAAAAAUUCAAAAAAAAUAAAUUUUACGCUUGUGUUUGAUUUGUACGAAAAAAAAAAAAUUAUCACGAUUGUAUAAUUGAAAUAAAAAUGAAAGAAAAAGAUAAAUAAAAAAAUAUUAUAUAUAUUUUUUCCUAUUCAAUAUAUUAAAUAUUAUUAAUAUAUAAUAAUUAUCAUACUAUAUAUAUUAGAAAAAAUGAAUUAAAAAAAUAUUUGUACAUUCUUUUUGGUCAUUUGAAAAAUUAAAUUUGUUUUAUUAAUUUAUUUAUAUAUAUAUUGUAUUAUUUAACAAGUAUUAAAAUCUAUGCAAUAUUACAAUAUCAUAGUUUAUUAAUAGGUAAUAUGUUAAUAAAAAUAUAUUAAAUUUAUAUGUAAUAUAUAUUAUUCGUAUUAUCAUAUUACAAUACAUUACAAAUAUAAUAUAUAUUUAAUAUUAUUAAAUUUUUAUAAUAGUGCAAUCAUUACGUGGCUUUUGGUUUGGGCAAUUCAUGCCGUUCAUGAGGUUGGAUGCUUCCUCGUGGACCGUAUGGGAUUUUUGUGCAUAGACUUGGUAUGCCGUGUUUUUGGGUGCAAAAGUUUUUAUUUUUUGAUUGGUUUGAGCGGAAAAUAAAAAGAUGAUUUUUUUGAGAAUCUGUAAAAUUAUUUUACAAAAAAUCUCUUUUACAAGCAACCAAAUAACUGAAAAUAGAUUUUUCAAACUGAAAAUAAUUUUCGUCCUGCUUUUAUAGCAAAUCAAACACUCGCUAACUGAUUGUCUCUUUACAGAAAAGUGAGUUUGACGAGAGCCAUUGUGAAAAAUUUAGGCACCAUAAUUAUGCCCUAACCGCUACUUAAAUGAUGGAAAUUUAACCGAUUUAAUAUAAUGGUGUGAGAUAAGAGAUAAAAAUUUAACUUACUAGAUAGAAUACGAAAAUUUAAUCCAUUAAAUAUUUUAGGUAGAAAUCAAAUUAGUGACCUGAGGUUCAAAUAUCAAAAGAAUCAUAUCUUUAAUAUUUUAUAUUCAAUACUUUUCUCAUGUGAAUUCAAAUAAUUUUAUAGGUGCAAAAUAUAAAGUUGAUAAAUAAGAAAAAAUUAAAUAAAGUUAGGAACUAAACAAGAUUCAAACUUAGAAUUUAGUGUUCUAAUACUGUAUUUUCUGGAAUAAAUAUAUAAUGUAGAAUUUCAACCCAUGAGAUUUUGGAAGUAGGGAUUGAACUAACAAACGCAUGAAACAUAUAGAAUGAAGGAUAGUAUAGACUUUGAAUCCGAACUUAUACAUGUUAUUACAAAUGGAGGAAAAAUACUUACCUUAGCCCCUGUUGGAUGCCGAAUUUUCCAACCCUUGACCCGGUCAAAGAUUCUCCUCGGAAAGCGCGUCGGGGUGAGGAACGGCUGCGGAUAGUGCCCUCGAAGUUUGCGCCCUACGACAGAUCAAGUGAUUCGGCUGACGAGGGAUCGAGCCAGCCGGAUCCGAAAAUCUUCACUAUAAAACUGGUUCAGCUGGAGGAGCCGAAUGUAUAAACUGUGCAGGUAUCAAUGUCGGCAGAAGAGCCGAAUGGAAGAAGUACACAGUAACUGGUCGGCUGAAAGAGCCGAAUAAAUUAAAUACACAAUGACUGGUCGGCUGAAAAAGCCGAAUGCCUAAAUAUAUAUUUAAUAAUAAAAAAGAGUGUGCCCGAAUGACAUACAGACUCAGAAAUAUAGUUUACAAUAUAGUGAUGCCCGUGGGGCAGACAGACUCCAGAGUUCUACUUAGCGAACUACUCCUAGGAAAGCAGUAAAUGCGGAAAAAAAAAAAUUACAUUUAAACUAUUCCUAGAAAAAUAAUAAAAUGCAGAGGAAAUAAGGAUGGUCUUCUCAUUCAGGAUGAAGAAAGACCCCUAUUGCAGGUUUUGAAAUUACUAUUUAUAGUAACAUCAACCCACAUUAUUGAUUGGUUAGGGGAGUGGUUGUAACCAUGAUCGUGGAAGUUACGCCCCACUUUCAUGGAAGUUACGUCCCACUUCACAUGAAAGUUAUGCCCCACUUCGCAUGAAAGUUACGCCCCACUUCUCAACAGUUCCCGCCCAAAACCUUCAGGCGCCUUAUUGCCGACUUCUGGUGUAUCACGUGUCCUUAUUGACUCAUACGUGAGUUAAGUCGGUAUGUUAAUUUCAAUUUUGGCAUCGACAGCCCCGUUUGGAUAUCUCUAAAAACGUAGCAUAAUUAAACUAUACUAUACUGAUAGAAAAAUUAUCCUAUGAAGCGUUUGAAAGAAAAUUUUAUAAUUUAAUUUAUAUUCAAAUUUUUAAAUUCAAAUUUUAAAAUUUGAAUUUUAAAUUUUAAAUAUCAAAAGUUUAAAUUUUAUAAUUUCAAAAUUUAAAUGUCAAAUUUUAAAUUUUAAAUUUUCUAAUUCUAUAAAUUCAAAUUUUAAUUUUUGAAUAUCAAAUUUUACAUUUUAGUUUUCAAAUAAUAAAUUUCAAAUUUUAAAAUUUCUAAUUUAUAAUUUAAAUUUUUAAUUCUCAAAUUUCAUUUGGAUCAAAACUACAGUUUAUAAAUUUCGUGAAAAUUUUUUACUGUACAUCCAAACAGGCCCUAAAUGUUUUUUUUGAUCUAACUAGAGUUUCUAUAAAAAUUUUUUGAUAAAGUCAAAGUUUUUGAUCCAUGCUNUUUUUUUACUUUUAAAUUUUAAAUUUUAAAUUUUAAAUUUUAAUUUUUUAUUUUAAAAUUUUAAAUUUCAAAUUUUUAAAAAUUAAAUUUAGAUUUUUAUUAUUUUAAUUUUUAAUUUCAAAUUUCACAUAUCAAAUUUUAAAUUUUAAAUUUUCAUUGAAAUUUUAAAUUUUAAAUUUUAACUUUUAAUUUUAAAAUUUAGAGAAAUCCCGUAAAAUUGUACAUUGCGUAUCCAAACAAUUUAAAAUUUGUAUCCGUGGAAUUUUUUAGAGUUACAGGAUUUCCUAUUUUAUUUAGAACGAAACUGCAGUUUAUAAAUUCCGUGGAUUCAAUUUAUGAAUUAUAUUCUAGAAACUUAAAAAUAUUGGUGCCAUCAGGUAGUCCUGUUGCAUCUUCUCUAGGAAUUGAGAUAGCGAUGUAGUAGUACCACCUGUAUAUUUUGACUAUAUUUUCAAGUAGUACUUCUGUACAAGUUGACGGAAGGAUUCAAAUGCUAGCCCAUCAAAUAUUAAAAUUGAUCAAAAUUUCUCAGUGAGCACCAAUAAAAAUAUGUAAUUUUUUUUUUCUACCACAUGCUCAAUGCCCCAGCAGGCAGGAAGUUUUAAUCUUUAUUCUAUUGCUUUAACUUUCAUUUGAGACUGUAUUGUGAUUAUUGACUAACCACAUAUUAUUCUCCAUUUACAUCAAAUCAAAUAAUCUGUGUCAGGUUUUGUACAUUAAGUCGGUCCUAUUUGGCCUCUAUUUAUUACCCUUUUAAAUUUUAUUUUAUAGUAUUUUACCCUUAUUUUUUGGCGCUAGCAUUGACUUCAAGUCAACAUAUGAUAGCUCCAAAUUUUGUGUCCCAUAAAUGAAGAGUUAUUGGAAAGUGAAUAAUAUGUGAGUACUGUAUAAAUUUUAAAUUUUGCUUAAAAUAGGGUUUUUCUUAUAAUUCUUUUUGUUACUUUAGGCGAGUAUUAUAAUUUUUUUAGUUAUUCUCGGCUCGAUCCGUAUAUUUAAGAUUAUUUAAUAAAGAUGAAUAUAUUUUAUUUUUAACUUUACUGAUAAUUUAUUAUUUUUAAAUUUUUACUUUAGUAGCAUCUAUCCGCUUCAAUGUGCAAGUCAUUUCAUAAUUGAUUUUUAAAAAAUAUUUGACUUGGGCCAGAAAAAAGAAUAAGACAAAUGAAUCUCUUUAUUUGAUUAGCUAAAUGUGAAUUUGAGCCUCUUCAGUGUGCCCUUUAAUAUUUGUUAUCUUUUCCUUGUAUAUUCCAAAUAUUUCUUCACCAUAUUUAUAUAAUAAUUUUUUUCUUCUAUAGUUUUUUUCUUUCUUUUCGAUNAAGAAUAAGACAAAUGAAUCUCUUUAUUUGAUUAGCUAAAUGUGAAUUUGAGCCUCUUCAGUGUGCCCUUUAAUAUUUGUUAUCUUUUCCUUGUAGAAUAAAAAUAUUUCUUCACCAUAUUUAUAUAAUAAUUUUUUUCUUCUAUAGUUUUUUUCUUUCUUUUCGAUUUCUUUUAUUAUGUUAUGGUGAGUUGUAAUUUCAUUAUAAACGUCUCUAAUAUGUUUUUUAUAUUGUUAAAUCUGAUUAAUAUGGUUAUAUUUUUUUGUUUCUUCUUUACGUUUAUAUUUAUUUAUUAAAAUAUUUUUAUUCAUCGUAUUGCACGGGUCACUAUACUGUACCGUCCUAGGAAGGACCUCGGGUUGACUACAGUGUCAAGUCCAGUACGCGUUACACAAGACUUUUAAGUCGAGUCCAAAUUGGCAACCUUAGGACCAAAUUAAGCCAUUACCUCUCUAGAUAAAAACAAACGAGUCACUGAAAACGUGAAUGUACUUAUUUUCCACAAAUCACUCCAAAUUUGGACUCCAAAAUCAAACCGACAUUCAUUGCGACUGCGCAGUUUGUCGGUCUACCGAAUUGUGGACUUUGAAAAGAAAUAUGGUGAAAAAUUAAGUUGAACCAUGACUGUAGAAAAAUAAUUAGAGCCAAAUUUUUUUUAUUUAGGGUGCAUUUGGUUCGAGCUAUCUUUUUAAGAUUUCUAAUAAUUCAGUAGGAAUAAAAAAAUACAACGAUAUUUGACUAAACGUACUAAGUAAUUUAGUUGGUAAUUCUGGAUUUACUUGAAAAUGAGAUUUAUUCCAAAAUUCUUAUCCCAUUUCUUUGAAAGAAUGUGAGUAUCCUCAUAUUAAUAGAUUAGAAUAAUCAUAAUAUGUCAAAUUUUUUUCUUUAUUGUUUUUCUCUACUCUCUAACCUCACAUCUCUCUUUAAGCUUGUCUUUCUCUUUCUAAAUUUUAACUCUCUUUCUCUCUCUAAGCUAAGAUCUCUCUCUCCUAUUUUUUCUAAAAUCUCAAUUCUCUCACUCUCUUUAAUUUUGGCUCUAUCUUUCUCCCUAUUUCUUUGAUUAUACUCUCUCUAAUCUAUGUUCUCUCUAUUUUUUUCUAAAAAGAUGUUGAAAUUUUUUAUAGCAUUAUCUGAAACUAAUUAAUAAAACAAAUAUAUUAAUUAUACUUUUUUAAUCUUAAAUAAUCUGACUUAAUAAUAUGACAGUACGAAUCAAAUAUCGGAAUGCCACAUUCUUAAUAAUAAAAUGAAUAAAAGUAAAAUUUUUGAACAUUCUUUUAUUUCUAGUAAUCAUUCAUAGUGCAAACCAAAUACGCCCUUAAGGUAAGAUACACUAUAUAUAAAAGCUACUGCUUAAGAGUACCGCUGCCAAAGAAUAUACUCCUACCUUGGACUAGAAUACUAACCAAUUAAAUAUAACUAGUGAAGACCCGCGCUACGCAGCGAGAAAUUUAGAUAAAUUUUAAAAAUUUUAAACUAUAUAGUAAAUAGCACCGAAACGGAUUAAAAUUUAAUUUUUAAAUUUAUUUUUUUAAUUUUUGAAUGGGAUCUAAAAUUAUACGAAACAAAACAAAAAAGAUUAGAAAAGAGAGGGAAAAGGGAAAAAAAAUAUUAGAAGAGGAAAGGAAAAAAAAAGAGAGGGAGGAGUGGGUCAACAGGUACAAAAAUAGCGAAAAAUUUAUAUAAAUUACUAUAUAUAAUGAAAUAAAUAAUUUAAGAAAUAAAUAUUAAAUUAUAUAAAUAUUAAUAAUAUAAUGCAUAUUAUAAACAAUAUAUACUAUAUAUACUAAUAUAUAUUUAUAAUAUAAUAAUAUUAUAUAUAUAUAUAUAAUAUAUAUAUAUAUAUAUAUAUAUAUAUAUAUAAUAUAUAUAUAUAUAUAUAUAUAUAAAAGAGAGAGAAUGAUAGGGAGGUCGGCGCGCCCAGCGCCGCGCCGCCCCCGUGCCCCCCGCCCCGCCUCCGCCCUCGCGCAGACCCGCCGCACGGCUUCGCCCCACGGCGCCUGCCCGCGCCCAGCUCCGCGACCCAUCCGCCGCCCCCCCCCGCCGCCCGCCUCCGCCUUCACGCAGCCCAUCCGCCACGGGAGAGGGGAAGAGAGGGAGAGAAGAAAGAGAGUCGAUGGGAGGGAGAGGAAAAGAAUGACGGGGGGAGAGAGGAAGAGAUCCGGGGGGGAGGGGGGAUAAGAGGGGAAGAGAGGGGGAGACCUGCGCCCGCACCCGCCGGGCGCGGGUCGCCCGCACCCGCACCCGCGCCCGCACCCGCCGGGCGCGGGUUGCGCGCUCGUGGGGAGGAGAGAGAGGUGGGGAGCCGGGGUCUCUCUCUCUCCCUCUGCUCUCUCUCUCUCUGUUGCCCCCUCUCUCCUUCUGCUCUCCCCCCUCUCUCUCUCUCUCUCUCCCUCUCUCACUUGUGGGGCCUGCCAUAUGUGGGAGGCCCGCACCCCCCGCACGCGCUCUCUCUCUCUCCCUCUCUCUGCUCGCACUCUCUCUCCCUCUGUUCUCUCUCUCCCCCUCUCUCUGUAUACUCUCUCUCUUUCCUCCCUCUGUUCUCUCUCUCUCCCCCUCUCUCUCUCUCUCGCGAGGCCCCCGCAAAACGCGGGGAGCUCGCCGUAGGAACUCUCGAUUCAAGAGUUAUAUAGAUAUAGAUGGUGUGAGGUAAGAGAAAAAUUUAACUUACCGGAUAUACUACGAAAAUUCAACCCAUUAAAUUUAGGGUUAAUUGUAUACAGGAUUUCGCAAACCAUGGUUAGUUAAUUCGCGAAUAAUUCGCAAAUUAUUCGCAAAUUUUUGAAGAUACGAAUUAAACAGCCGUUUUCGUAUUUUUUUUCAAAAAAAUCGAAAAAAAAAUGCGUUUUUUUCGUCAAAAAUAAUUAUUCGCGAAUUAUUCGCGAUUCGCGAAUGAUUCGCCCAAAAAACCGGUGCUCGUGGGUGUGGACUCGCGGCCGCGGGUCACGUCGUCACCACUCACGCCGCCGAACUCGUCCGUGUCGUCGUCGUCAUCCUCCUCCGCCGCCCUGGCCGGCGCCGNAUAUAUAUAUAUAUAUAUAUAUAUAUAUAUAUAGUUGAGAUAGAAUACUAUCGAUAGCAAACGAGCUUCGUUGCCGCCCAUUUGUUUUUGAUGAUGAAGCCUUCAAAUCGACGAUUGACAUAGUUGAACAUGAUCUAUACCGCUUGAAGUGUUUAGAAAUCAAAUUUCAUAUAUUUCCAAUAUUGUUUUCUUAUCCAUCGAGUGGACACAAAAAUGAACGAUUGAAAAUAAAUUUUCUUUAAAAAAUGAUGAUAUGUAAUAACCGAGAUUUCUAGUAAUAAAAAUUAAACCCUUUGUUGACAAUGUUUUUAUGUGUAAUAUAAUUACAUAAGCACUCAUCAAAUUUUAGGUGAAAACGAGUUAAGAUGGAGAAGUUAUACGACUUGAACAGAUAACUUAAAGUGAAUAGUAACUCCGGCUUUCCGGAGAAGCCAGUGAGUAGAAGACGGUUCUGGUGCGCAUUGGACUCCGAUCAUAGCGCUCCAAUAGCUCGUUUCGAACGGUUCGACCAUUCUGGACCCAAUGACACUGACGAAAUUGGAUUCUGAUGCACGGUUGUCGAGAAAAAGGGGUUUGAUUGGUUUCACAUGUAGUAAUAUAAGUGGCUACAUAGUGAAAACAAAAGAGGGAUGGUUUUGACGCAAAUCGAAAACCAAAUCGGAUAAAGUAAGAUGCUAGAUUCGAUGCCCCAGUCGUGCUGAACGCGCUGGGGCAAUCCGUUCGGAAAUCCGAUGGACGGAUCUUCGAAAAUCGUGAAAAGUCCGCUGAGAGGUCAAUUUGGCAAAAUCAAUUAAUCGCAAAAGGACCCUAUAUUUUAUGCGCCGUUUCACGAGAUUUCGAAUGUCGAGGGGCUGGCAUGCAAGUUACACAUGCGGGCAGGGGCAGGAUUAUAAUUAUUUGACUUUGAAGGGGUUCCUCGCAAAAUGACACCUUGUAUAAAAGUGGCGUCUAGGGUUUUCCAUGGUUCUUUGGCUGCCUACGUUCACCUAGCUAACCCUAGCCGCCCCACCUACACCUUGCCCUGCCUAUACGCACACCCGGACUGCCGGUGAGCAGCUACGGCCGCCGGAAAAGCCACCCCGGCCUCCCAUCAACUCCUCGUUAGACCCACCUCGCCACCAGCUCAGUUGUUGUGCUCGGGGAGGCAUCAAAGCCCGAGCUUCAACAUCCCCUGGCUGAGGCCCAUCCCUAGCGCCGUCCCCGCCGGCCUCCGCCGUCCCCGCGCGCCGUCGGAGCCACCCUAGCUCCCUACGGCUAGCUGCAGUCACCCAGGCUGAGUCUAGGUGAUCUCUGCCUUCGCGCGCCGCCGCUGCUCCCCGCCGCCGCUCCCCGCCGGCCGCGCCGCCCUCGCAUCUCUGGCGACCUCCCGCUCGCCAUCCCGGCCAUCCCCGUGGACCGCCGGCCGCCGCUUGUGCACCUUGCAGCCGCCCUGGGUUGGUGCGGGCCGAGGCCGAGUCACCACGACCACCGUGCGUCGCCGCCGCCCGCUGCGGGGCGCACCGCUUUUCCAUCAGCCUUCGCCGACGGAUCGCAGUCGCCCCGAGCUCCUCCGGCUGCCACCUCGCCACCAAGAGCCCUUGAACCCAAAAGCUAUUGGCGGAAUUGAUCUCCUCCGCCGCGCCACUGGUUGCCUCCCGUUGCCGACCGGCGCCUGCCCCGGACCCCUCCGACUGGCCGCACCAUUCCCCGACCCGAACGCCCGUCGUCCGACCGCCGGCGACCAUCCUAGCUCCCUCGGGUCUGGUAAGCAGUAAAUUAGUCUAUAGCGUACUGUUUGAGGGUUCCGGUCACCUUUCCGGUGAUCCAAUGACUCCCCGACACCCCGAAAAGUGAGCACGAUGAUCUAUGAUUCGUGCUGAACAUCGUGCCCACCUCCGACAAGGACAGAGAUGCCCUGGAUUGUGCAUUAAUGGCAAUCUUACCGUUGUGCGCGCUGUUUCACUGAGUUUCGUGUCGCUCGUGCGCGUGCCACAGUGGCCGGCAGUUCUCCAAAAGGUGAGCAUGGCCUCCGGCACGCUGAAACCUAUCAGCGAGCGUGACGGUUUGCCGAAUCUAUCUCUGGUUUGUGUGCACAGUCCAGAAAAGCCUAGAAAUCACAUAAAAUGAUGUGAUUUCAUAUAUCGGUAAGGGCUUUUAGGGUUUUUGCUUCGAUGUAGCUGAUGUUGGCAGCAAGGGUAGGCUGAGAAUAACCUCUGGACUGAUCGUCCAAGGCCCCAAUCCUUUGCGAAAAUCGAAAAGUGAUUUUCGGGGCGUUUUUCGGCGAAAUCCGCCAAUAGAACACGUCUUCGAUUCAGAAUUCAUCCGACGGCGCCUCGUGGUUGAUUGUAGUGUCACUAAGCCUUGUUGGCUUGUCACCCGUGUCGUUUCGAGGGUCCAGAAACGACGGCUGAGCGACGGCGGAUUCCGGUGCCGAAAUAGACACUUCCGGAAACCCGAAUCGGAACGAUUAUCGACGAUAAUCGUUCCGCAUCGUGGUAGCGUCUUUGCUGCCUUGUCACACUAAAAUAGGUGUUUAGCGGCAGCGAGCAACUCAUAUGAUGAGUUGGGUAGUUCCGGGACGGUUCGUGGGUCCCGGCGGAGUCCCGGUGCAGUUUUUUUGUAACUUCUGGUGAGUUCGGCAAUCGGUUUUGGGAAACCGAUUCCCGAGGGGCUAUGAUUGUGGGAUUGUGAGUUAGCGAUAUGUGUUAGUGGGUUAGGUUCUAACCCGGUGGACUUUUCGUAGGUUCGGUUGCACCGUCUUCACAGUCGAUAGAUUUUCGUCAGACACGUACAGGUGGGUACUUCGAUCCGACGUCGGUACAGUGGUGCACGCUCGGUGACGUUUCCUUUACCCUUGUUGUUUAUAUCAUUUACCUUAUACAUGUUGAGCCUUGCACCCAUGCUAUUUCCUUAUUUACUCUACUUAGUUGUUUCCAGGUAUAGUAUCAUGUGUAGGAGUGGAGUAGACUUUAUCUGUAUAUGAUAUCUGUGACCUGGUCGGUCGGUUCUCCUAUUUGCAUCUGUGACCUGGUUGGUCGGUUCUCCUAUUUGCAUCUAUGAUUUGGUUGGUCUGUUCUCCUAUAUGAUCUCCAUGACCUGGUUGGUAGACGUUGCAUCUCCUAUACUUAUGACCUAGUUGGUUGAUUUGAUUACAUGAUGACCCAUGUGGUUGGUGUGCCCUGGGGGGCAGGAUUGUCGGCUGGUUGCCGACGGUUGAUCAUUGAGCAUAUUGCAUUGAUCGCCCGAUACUCGUCGCAUUUCACGAACACUGGCAGUCUGAUCCACCGCAAGAGGUGUUCUUUUCCGAAAAAGUGGUUGCAGGUGUCAACCCGUGAGCCCUAGAGGGGUUAUAUGCAUGGUAGAGUAGUAGUGGCACUGGCUUAAGGUUUGCGGUGCGGACCAAGAGAGCAUUGGUUUCAGAUUAGGUACUUUUGGACUGAUUGUCCCGUUGAUGCAUGCAUACAAUAGCUGUAGUGGUUUAUCUAUACACAUUUCAUUACUUGUUUAUCUUAGCUACUGUACUACCAUUAUCCAUAUCCUUGUUUAUCUCCGUGACUAGUGAGUACCCCUCGCCCUCGUCGGCUUGCGGUACCCACUGGGAGGGGAGAUAUGUUUACAUAUUCUCACCCCCCGCCCCUAUUACAGGUGACGUCGCAGGUCCGAGUGGGACAGCUGGUGAGGAGCGUGUCUAGCGUACGAUAGAGCUCCGUCCCGUGUCGGUUAUUCCUUUACCCUUCAUGCUUGAAUAAAUAACUUAGACAUAUUAUGGUUCAGUUUUGUUAUAUUAUUUGAAUAUCCGAGUUUUCAGUUGGAUUUAUGAUGUAAUAAAAAGGAUUUGUGGAUUUCAAAUGUUGAAUGAUUUUCUACCCCUCGUGGUAGCGUUUCUAAAAGAUAAAAGUUCCCGUGUAGGGAACAGUUUUUAAAAGGGUUUUCUAUGGAUUUGGUAUCUUAGUAUUUCAAAACCUGUUUCUGGGUUGGAAACGUUUUAACUGAUAGAUGUAGAUUUAUGUUUAAAUAUUGAAUGUAUAACUGUGAUGUGAAUGGUGAAUGAAUGAUCGUAUAGUUGUUUCUAUAUUCAUUUAGUUGUGAUUGUUUCCUGUUUACUUGUUGUACUUGUGCGACGCCGUGCAAAUAUAGGGGAGACUCUAUCUGUGUGACCAGUGAACUUUCUGUAUUUGUGGCAGAUCUGGCAUACCCUGGGGUCAGAUCUUUAAAAAAAAAAAUUUCUAGCUAUUUUCGCUGUGUUUUCAAACAAAAUGGACCCCGGGGCGUGACAUGAUAGGAGUUUUGUAAUUAAGAUCAAGAGUAUAGAUCUUGUUUUAAAUAGUUUAAAGAAUUUUCUAAAAAAAAUUUAAUUGAUUUGGAUAUCUUUACGCCGUUAAACGAGAAAAUGCUCAUAUCGACCAUUAAAAUUACAAAUUUUGAAACCCUUUGAUCAUUAGGCAAAUGAUGUCGAAAGAUUUGAAAUUUGAUUUCUAAACACUUCAAGUGGUACAGAUCAUGUUCAACGGUGCCGAUCAUCGAUUUGGAGGCUCAAUCAUCGAAAACAAAUGGGUGGCAACGAAGUCCGUUUGCUAUCGAUAGUAUUCUAGCUCAACUCUCUCUCUCUCUCUCUAUAUAUAUAUAUAUACAUAUAUACAUACAUACAUACAUACAUACAUAUGUGUAUGUAUGUAUGUAUGUAUGUAUGUAUGUAUGUAUGUACAUACAUACAUACAUACAUACAUACAUACAUACAUAUAUAAUAACAUACAAUGUUAUGUAUGAUAUAUAUAUACAUACAUACAUACAUAUAUUAUACAUACAUACAUGUAUGUAUGUAUAUAUGUAGUAGUGUAUGUAUAUAUAUAUAUAUAUAUAUAUAUAUAUAUAAUAUCAAUAUAUAAUAUAUAUAUGAUAAUAUAUAUAUAUAUAUAUUAUAUAUAUAUAAAGGGUGGAAAUGGAGUAUAGGGAGACAACUAUUUAUAAAAGUUAGUAACCGGACUUCUAUAUUAUAAUAUAUAUAGAGAGAGAGAGAGAGAGAAGAGAGAGAGAGAGAGAGAGAGAGGACGUCGGCUACUUAUACUCUUAUGAGUACGAUCGCCCUCGUACUCAUUAAGUUGUUUUCGAUGAUAGAAAACUUCCAAAUGACGAUAUACCGUUAAAAUAUCUAGACCAUUUAAAACUUCUAUUAAAUUAAAUUUAUAAUUUUCGAUAUCAUUUACCUUACGAUGGUCAAACGGUACAAAAUUGACAAUUUUUUAACGCGGUAUGAGAUAUUUGGAUAAGCAUUAACGGUGAAAAAGGAAUCGAAAUAGGUUGAAUUUUUGAUAAAAUUUUAUUCACUGACCUAAUAAAGUCAAUAACUCCGAUCUUAAAUUGAAGGAUCCGAUCAUUCAUUUUUAGGAUGUCAUUCGUUUAACCGUCAUUUUAUACUCGCUGAUGACUUAUAAUUGAUUUCGAAAUUUAUGAAUUUAUUGUCUAGAAGUUUUAAAUACUCAGAUCUGUUUAACGCGCCGUCUGUGGAUCGUCGAUCAAAAACUCCCAACAUCGAAACAACUUAUGAGUAGUAAGGUUCUUAUACUCAUAAGAGUAUAGUAGCCCUACUCUCUCUUUUCUCUCUUCUCUCUCUCUCUCUUUCUCUCUCUCUCUCUUAUCUAUCUAUCUAUCUAUCUAUCUAUUAUCUAUAUAUAUAAUAAAUAUAUAUAUAUAUAUAUAUAUAUAUAUUAUAUAUAUAUAUAUUCAUUUAUUAUAUAUAGUAUUUUAUUUUUAUAUAAAAAUAUUAUUAUAUAAUAUUUUAUUUAUAAAUUUAUAAUUAUUUAUUAAUAUUUCUAAAUAUAUAACUCUUAUAUAUUAUUAAUAUAUAUUUAUUAUAAUUUUAAAUAUAUUUAAUCUAUAUAUAAAAAUUAUAAUAAUAAUAUAUGUAGUAUAUUAAUUAUUAUAUAUUUAUUAUAUAGCCAAAUUUUUUAUCCCUAAUUUUUAAUUGGUGAAUGUAUAAUAUCCGUAUAAAUCACGUAUCUGAAUAGUUGCCGAAUCCGUUUUUUAGUCGUAUUUUUCAACGAAUUUGAAAAUUAAAAGAUGAAUUUUAUCUAAAUUAUACCCGUACUGAAUUUUUGUCGAAUCCGAAUUAACUAUGCCGCAAACAUGGUGAAUAGCAGAUAUAUUCCUGCAAAGUUCAACUUUCAUAAGUUAUCCCUGCAAAAGUCCUAAUGUAUUCAGAUAUGUUCCUGCCGUUAGGUUCCGUUAAAGAAAUUUAAUUAACCACGGUUAAAAUGCUUUACCAUAGUUAAUUAAUAAGGUAAAUUGACAAUUUUACCAUUCUUCUUCUUCCUCUUCCUCUUCAUCUUCUUUCUCUUCCUCUUCCCCUUCUUCUUCUUCUUCUUCUUCCUUCUCCUUUUCCUCAUCUUUCUUCGAAUCGGCCGCAUCUUCGCCCUCUGCCUCGUCGCUGCGGGCCUCAGCCUUGUCCUAGUCGGCCGCAACUCCGACAAGCUCCAUGCCACUGCCGCCACCGCCGCCACCCGCUUUGGCAGCCUGAAAAGGAAGAGAAUGGAGAAAAGGGACAUUUGUGAGGGUAUUUUUGUAAAUAUAUACCAGCUGAAGCUUUUGGAAGGACAUAUUUGUGAGGGCAAAAAGGUCAUUUCACGAACCUACUGUUAAAAAAUAAACAGUUCUCUAACGGGUGCUAACCAGAGGGAUAUAUCUGAAUACAUUAGGACUUUUGUAGAGAUAACUUAUGAAAGUUGAACUUUGCAGGAAUAUAUUUGCAAUUCACUAUAUUUGCAGGGACCUGUAUGCAAUUAACCCUUAAAUUUACUAGGCAAAUAAAGUCAAAAAAUUACAAAAAUGAAAUCCUCCGUACUUUCAAAAAUAUAGUAGCAUAUAUAUAGAGAGAGAGAAUUAGUUUGGUAUACUAUUGGUAGCACGGAGGCCUCUGUGCUAAGUUUUUUCAAUGAUGCCGCUUCCAAAUUGAUGAUCGGCUCCAUUAAACUUGAUCUAUACUAUUGAAAGUAUUGAAAACAAAAUUUCAUAAUUUUUCGACAUUAAUUGACUAGUAAUAAAAAGGUCUCUAAAUUGAUAAUUUUAAUGGCCGAUGUGAUGCGUUUAUAAAUUUAACGGUAUAAAACAAUUCAAAUAUGAUGAAAUUUUUAUAAAUUUUUUUUUUUACUAUUUAGAGUAAGAUCAGUACCUCUGAUUUUAAAUUCAAGUCUUUUAUCAUUAUUUUUUAUAAGAUUUUUAUUUUCAAUCAUUCAUUUUUAGACUACUGGUUUGAUUGGUAAAUAAUGUCGAAAAAUUAUGAAAUUUAGUUUUUCCAAAAACUUUCAAUAGUGUAGAUCAAAUCUAACGAAGCCGAUCGUCGAUUGGGAAGCUGCAUCAUUGAAAACAACUUGGUAGUGUAGAGGCCUCCGUGCUACCGAUAGUAUAUUAGCCGGACUAUAGAGAGAGAGAGAGAGAGAGAGAGAGAGAGAGAGUUGAGCUGAAAUGCUAUAAGUAGCAAACGGGCUCCGUUGCCACUCAUUUGUUUUCGAUGAUAGAGCCUUCAAAUUGAUGAUUGACACUGUUGAACAUGAUUUAUACCAUUUGAAGUAUUUAGAAAUCAAAUUUCACAUCUUUUCGACAUCAUUGACCUAAUGAUCAAAGGGUUUUAAAAUUUGUAAUUUUAAUGGUCGAUAUGAGGCGUUUUCUCGUUUAACGAUGUAAAGUUAUCCAAAUCAAUUGAAUUUUGGUUAGAAAAUUCUUUAAACUAUUUAAAACAAAAUCUAUACUCUCGAUCUUGAUUACAAAAUUUCUAUCAUCACUUUUUAGAAGAUAUUCAUUUUCAACCGAUCAUUUUUACGCCCACUUAAUGAACAAGAGAAUAAUAUCGAAAAAGCAUGAAAUUUGAUUUCUAGAUAUUUCAAGUGGUAUAAAUCAUUUUCAAUGGUACCAAUCGUUGAUUUGGAGGCUCCAUCAUAAAAAACAAAAGGGUGGCAACGGAGUCCGUUUGCUACUGAUAGUAUUCCGACUCAACUAUAUAUAUAUAUAUAUAUAUAUAUAUUAUAUAUAUUAUAUAGUAUUAUAUACUAUUAUAUAUAUAUAAUAUAUAUUGUAUAUGUGGCGGGCAUAGUGAUGCUUAUGGAAGGCCACGGAGGGCUCCGAACCUUGCUUCCACUUUGUAUUUCAAUGUUCGGACUUUCGAAUCGACGCUGCGCUCGUUAGAACUUGAUCUAGAGUAUUUGAAGUUUCUAGAAAAUAAUUGGCCGAUUUUUUUGAUAUCAUUGCCUAGUGAUUCGAAGUGGCUCAAAAAUCAACGGCCUGGAAAAUAAAAAAUCUUACAAAAUAUGAUGCAUAUGACAUUAAAAAUUUAGAUCAAGUUAUUUGAUCUUGUUUAUGUAUAUGGUAUAAAGAAUUGUUCUUAUCAAAAUUUCCAUGUGAUUUGAUAUUUUACACAUUAAACUAUGCAACCGGCUCACCACGGCCGUUAAAAUUAUUGAUUUGCAGACCCCUUCGAUCACUAGCAAAUGAAAUCGAAAAUCGCAAAAUUUAUUUUUCUAGAGGCUUACUUUCAAAUAUCCUAUGAUCAACUCUAAUGGACGCACGUCGAUUCGAAAGGUCUGAAAUCGAAACAGCUGGAAGCACGGAGCGCCAUCGUCGCCUUCCAUAAGCCAUACCAGACACCUCUAUAUAUUAUUAUAUAGAGAGAGAGAAGAGAGAGAGUUAGGCUACGAUGCUAUUAGGAGCACAGUAAAAGGGGGCCCUUUGUGUCUAACUUUCUAAACCACCCAUCAAGUUUGAGGUGGUAUUGAAUGAGAGGGGAAGAAAUAUUGGAAAGAGAAAAUUAAGCGUGGUUUAAUUUCAUUUUGCUUCUGAAUUUCUCUUCAAUAUCUCUUACUCCCUUUUAUUCUAACACCAUCAAACUUGAUGGGGUAGUUAGAAAUUAGGAGCCACACAGGGCUGCUGUCCUCCUAUAGCCACAGUUAGCCCUGGCUUGAUAUAUAUAUAUAUAUAUAUAUAUAUAUAUAUAUAUAUAUAUGAGUAAUGCUUCUAUACUUUCUUUUUUUUCAUUACCGAUCAUUCCCUCCCAUUCAACGGUUCAGAUUUAAUUUUUUUUAAAUUGUGACCUGCAAUAGCAGGUCACUUUGGGAGAGGUACUAGUUACCAGAUAUCUCAAAAAAGAGUAUUUUUGUCUUUUAAUACAUGAGCAAUUUAGUCAUUUUAUCCCUAGUAUAUUAUCAAAAUUUUUAUUCUCUCUUUGUUUCUUUUUUUUCUCUCUAUCUUUCCUCUCAUAUUUUGACAUUUCAUAUAAAAAAAGUUUCAAAUUAUUUGACAAUAAGAACGUGAGAUUAUUUUGUGGACCAACUAUGGAUUUUGUCUAAAUAUCCAUCUUGAAUCCGACGCGAAUCAUAUAUAAAGUUUAAUAUUAUAUUCAAAUUUAUAUUUUAAAAUUUUAAAUUUAAUAUAAAAUAUUUUAAAAUAUGGUAAAAAGAAAUAAUUGUUUCGAGUUCCGGUUUUCGGGUUUGGGUUCGGUUUUGGGUUUCGAAAAAUUGAUCAGUUUCGGGUUUAGAUAUGGAUUUUUGAAAUUCGUUGAGUUAAGAAAUAGGUUUUGCGAUUGUUAGUCAGGUUCGAAUUCAAAGUCAUGACCAUUUUUUCUGAACAGUAAUCCUAAUAUUUUUAAUUUUUAUAUCUAAAAUUAUGUUUAAAAUAUUCAUUAGCUCUAACUGUUAAAAUGUCAUUUUGUUUAAAAUGUUUAUUAUCUUUAACGGUUCCAAAUUGUUCUUAAUCUUAUUCAGUUUAAUAGCUUGAAAUCGGAUAUUUGAUAGAAUAGUUUAAAAUCUGAUCAGUCAAAUCAAUCGGUUCAAUCUGGUUUUUAAAUAUGUUGAAUUUAAAUAUUUGCCCACAUUCAAUUUUUUAAAAUUAGUAAUACAAAAUUAAUGUCUAAGAUGAAUUCAUAAUUUUGUUAAACAUAUAAAAUAUGUUAAAUUUAAAUAUUUACCAACAUUACAAUUUUUUUUAAAUAAUGAUACAAAAUUAAUGUCUAAGAUGAAUUCAUAAUUUUGUUAAACAUAUAAAAUAUGUUAAAUUUAAAUAUUUACCAACAUUACAAUUUUUUCUAAAAUAAUGAUACAAAAUUAAUGUCUAAGUAGAACAAUUCUAAUUUUUUUUAACAUAUUAAAUACAUUUAAUCUAUAAUUUUUUUUACCUGCAUUCAAAUUUUUUUAAAUAAGUGAUACAAAAUUAAUGUUUAAACUAUAGAAAUUUAAAAAUUUCGUAAACAUAUUAAGUAUGUUGAAUUAAAAUAUUUAUCAACAUUACAAAUUUUUUAAAUAGUAAUACAAAAUUCCUCUAACUUAAAUUUUAAUUUUUAAAUUUUAAAUAUUUAUUAUUUAAUAUUUAAAUUCAAUGUAUUUAGAAAUAGAACUAUUUCUAAAAUUCCUAUAAUUUUAAUUAAUGCCUAAAUUUUUGAAUCACUAAAAUUUCUAAAGUAAAUGCGUAAAUUAAUGCCUAAUUAAUGCCUAAAUUAGGGUAAUCAAUCAAUUUCCCAAAUUAGUGCAAAUUAAUGCAUAAAUUUAGGAUAUUAAUUAAAAGUUUUUUUUAAAUGUUGCAUACUUUAAUUACCAAAAUAACCUCGCAUAAUAUAUAACCCUUUUAAUGCCUAAAUUAAUGCCUAAUUAAUGCCUAAAUUAGGGUAAUCAAUCAAUUUCCCAAAUUAGUGCAAAUUAAUGCAUAAAUUUAGGAUAUUAAUUAAAAGUUUUUUUUAAAUGUUGCAUACUUUAAUUACCAAAAUAACCUCGCAUAAUAUAUAACCCUUUUAAUGCCUAAAUUAAUGCCUAAUUAAUGCCUAAAUUAGGGUAAUCAAUCAAUUUCCCAAAUUAGUGCAAAUUAAUGCAUAAAUUUAGGAUAUUAAUUAAAAGUUUUUUUUAAAUGUUGCAUACUUUAAUUACCAAAAUAACCUCGCAUAAUAUAUAACCCUUUUAAUGCCUAAAUUAAUNACGUCGGGAGAGUGUCGGGACAAGUCCGAGUCGCGUUGGCGCGAAAUGGACGCCGAACGGACUCAGUGGAGACGCGAGGGCAUGAGUUAGCACGGGAAUCUGCAAAAUGUAGAUUUUCUGCUUGCUGUACCGGUACAACCAUCAAGGCGUACCGGUACAUUUUGUUGUACCGGUACAACAUCAGAGGUGUACCGGUACACAGUGCAUGUCUCCGCGCAGACUGCUCUCGGGUUGCCAUUUGUACCGGUACAAAUGCCCGUGUACCGGUACACCCGGGGUAGGUGAGGGACUGUUUGGUCUUUGGCUACCUCGUUGCUUUCACCCUACCUACUCCCUCUACAUAAGUGUAGAGAGGGAGAGAGACAGGGCGUUGCUGGUCUUCUUCCCCUUCUUCACUGAGGAGCCCAUUUUGCAUCAAGUCCCUUCAAUUGCGUCCAAUUUCCUCAAUUUGAAGGUGGUGGAGUGCUGAUUUUGCAGUUUUCCAGCAGCGACCGUCAGUGUUUCGGCUUGUGUGCGACAUAGGAAGCUCCGUUUUUUACGAAACUUGGUUUGCUGGAUUCUAAACUUCAAGAGGAAUCGGUGGAGCCCAAUUUCACUGAAUUUGGUGGAGGUUAGUAUGGUCGAAUUAUGAGUUUUCUGGACUGCUGCCACAGUGAAGCUGAUUUUGAGCUUAUUUGAUGUUCUUCAAUGCUAUCUUUGGAAGCAGUGGACUUUUGGACCUGAGACUCACCCUCUAUCAUUAUUCACUGGAUUUGGGACUGUCCUCACCUGAUUUGGAGAUCUUUAGAUGAGUUUUGACAUUGAAGUUGGGUGAAUUUUUAAGCUUAAGUGCUGAAAUUGUGGAAUUGGUGUAUUUUAAUGGAUUUUGAUGAUCAGAUCUUGAUUGUGGAUCAUUGCCGGCUGAGAAUAGGUGCGGCUGGUUCCGACAGGGUGUUCUGCAGCUAAGUGAUCUCCUUGCUGCCAGGAUUUAGCUUUUGAGGUGAGUGUUUCAUCGGUUUUGCUCCUACGUGCAUGUUAGUCGUCGUGUAUGAUUGUCGGUUCUGGUAUAUCAUGCUAAAUUUCAUUGAUUAGCAUCUUGGCUGUAAUAUGAAUGUUGAAGCAUGCUGAAACAAGUACUUACAUUAUACCUGUUGGACUUGGAAACUGACUUAGGAGAAAACCAGCGUUUUGAACCUGUCAUAUGCUUAAACUACUUGAUUUAGCUCUAGGAGCCGUUGUAUUUUGUAUCGCCGCAGUAUCGACGCGGUGGAUACCCCAGGUAGUUUAGAUCUCUGUUACGCUUGUAUUGGGAUGCCGAGUGUAUUUUUACAGUAGUGUUCAGACUGUUCCGGACUGUUAGGGGCUGUUGGGGUUGACGGCGGACCCAGAUUUCUGCUUUUGGUCUCAGAUUGUGCCGAGGACACGUGGGUUUAGUUUCUAGACCUAUUUUGACCUAUCUACUUGACUUGGGCUUGUGAGAACCUGAUUGAGCUCGACAGAGAAACGCUUGCAUACUCGGUUGGAUAGUUCCCAUGAGUGCCACUCCGGAGGCGGGCGUUGUACUUUUGCGUUGGUGUCGUUCGUGCAGGUUGGACUCGCUCUCCACUGACUGCUUAGUGUGGAGGUAGCUGUAUAGUCGCAACCGGGCGGGACGGGUGUGUUCACAGUCCGAGGGACGGAUAUGUUUACAGUCUUUUUUGAGAUUGGGUCCGAGAUGACUUUGUUCUACAGAUGAUUAGAUUUAGAGCAUGAUAGUAUAGUGUCAUUUAAUUGUAGAUUUAUUUCAGCUUUCCUUACUAUUUCUUCUUAUUCCUUAGACUUAGUGGGUGGACCGAUGAGUUUGAGGGCGGUACCCACUGAGGACUACUUGUUUUUACAAUAGUUCUCACGCCCUGUUGCUCACUUUCGUUUUGCAGAGCCGUCGUCUUCGGCUGCUGCUGCUGCUUAUCCUGAUCGUGGCAAGAGCGUUGCCAGUUAGAGCCCUUCCCUGUUGUUGCUAUUCGAGAGGUUACCAACUGCAGGUAGUGCUAGUUUUUGAGUUUCUUAUACAUACUUGUUGUAUCUCACUGGGCGAGCAUUUUUGUAUACCUGGAUGUACGUAUGUAUAUGGAACUUAUUCCUGUUUAUACCAGUUUUAGUCAAGCAACUCUAUACUACUGGUUGUAGUAUUGUAUGUGUUACAGGUACAGCUACGCUUCGUAUACAGAAAAAUUUUCUUUGUGUACAGCGGAUUUGUCGGCGUGCCCAGGGAACGUGUAAUCCGGAGCGUGACAUCAAAACCCGAUUUUUCACUUUCCUCUCCUGUCAUUUAAAAACCUACACUUUUUUCCCUUGUAAAAUGAAAAAUGUCAACAAAGGGAAAUGUUGUGAACUGUGAUGAUAAAACAAACCAUUUUGCCUCUCACCAUUUUGCCCCUCACCAUAUUCACAGGAGAGAAGGCUGAGUGUCACGCCCCGGAUUGCACUUUCCCCGGGCACGCCGACAAAUCAACCGUAUACAAAAAAAUUUCUCCUGUAUACGAAGCGAAAGCUGUACCUGUAAAAUAUACAAUACUACAAAUAGUAGUAUAGAGUUGUUCGAAUAAAACUGGUAUAAACAGGAACAAAUUUCAUAUACAUACAUACGUUCAGGUACACAAAAAGCUCGCGCAGCGAGAUACAACAAGUAUGUAUAAGAAACUCAAAAACUAGCACUAUCUGCAGCUGGUAACCUGUCGAACUGCAGUAACUAGGAAGGGCUCUAACUGGCAACGCCCUUGCCACGAUCAGUCUCUGAGGAAGCAACAGCCGGAACAGCAGGCUCUAUAGAAAUAUGAUAACAACUGGGCGUGAGAACUACUAUAAAAAUAAGUAGUUCUCAGUGGGUACCAUCGUAAACAUCGUCGGUCUACCCACUAAGUCUACAGAAAUGAGCAAGGAUAGUAUGAAAUGCUGAAAGAAACUCUACAGCUACAAGACACUACACUAUCAUGCUCUACACUAACCAACCGUAGGAAGUGUCAAUCUUGACCCAAUAGAACUGGGACUGUAAGCCUACCCAUUCCUUGGACUGUGAACACACCUGUCCCGCCUGGUUGCGACUAUACAGCUACCUCCACUCUAAGCAAUCCGUGGAGAGCAAGUCCAACCUGCACGAACGACACCAACGCGAAAGCACAGCGCCCGUCUCCGGAGUGGCACUUGUGGGAGCUACCCAGUCGAGUAUGCAAGCGUAUCUCUAUCGAGCUCAAUCAGGCUCUCACAAGUCAAAGUCAAGUAAUAGGGUCCAACUGGUCUAACAACCAAUAGGUCACGUGCCCUCAGCAUAAUUUGACGCCCAAAACGGCGAUAUAGAUCCACCGUCAACCCCGACGGCACCGAACAGUCCGGAACAGUUUGAACGCUACUGUAAAAAUACACUCGACAUCCCAGCACGAGCAUAACAGCUAUCUAAACUACCUGAGGUAUCUACCACGUUGAUACUGCGGUGAUACAAAAUAACAACAGCUCCUAGAGCUAAAUCAGGUAGUUUAAGCAUGUGACAUGUUCAAAUCGUAGGUUUUCUCCUAAGUCAAAUCCAAGUCAAACAUGUGUAGAUACCUAGUCACAGUAUUAAGCUCCAAUUCAGAUUCUACAGUUAAACAUGCCAAAAUCUAUGAAUCGAGCAAUUUCUAUCAACGAAAUAACAUAAAAACACAUGUCGACAAUCUAUAUACUUAGAAGAUAACCGACGAUUAACCGACAUCGAUAGCUAAUCCCAAUCCGGCGCGACGUCGAGAACGGCGGAAUCGCACCCUCGCCCGUCCUCCUCGCGAUGCUAUGAUGACGAACGUACGCUCGAACAGCACCGCGACGCGACGUCGACGACGAACCAACCCACCCGAGCUCCUCCUUGUUCACGGCUAAUGCUAGAGAGAGAGAGGAGAAGAAGCAUGCAAAACUCCCUAUCUUAGCCUCUCUACACAUGUAUCUAGCAAUGGAAGGAAAGGGCGACACGUAUGAGGCAAGGAAUGACCAAAUCCUCUCUCACCUAUCUUGGCGUACCGGUACACGGGUAGUUGUACCGGUACAAAUGGUAACCCGAGAGCAGCUGCGCAAAAAUCUGGCGAAGUGUACCGGUACGCCCUGCUGGUUGUACCGGUACAGAAAGUGUACCGGUACACCUUGAUGGUUGCACUGGUACAACAAGCAGAAAACCUGUAAUUUGCAGAUUUCCAAAGUAAGUCCUGCUCUCGUAUCCCUGCUGAGUCUGUUUUGUGUCUAUUUUGCGCCAACACGACUCAAACUUGUCCUGAUACUCUCCAGAGCUGUCGACAAGCCUCUACUGCUGUACACCAGGGAUACCACACCCUCCCCACUACAAAAAGUUUCGUCCUCGAAACUUAACACGUACCUCAACCCUGAGCAUCAAACAAGUAGGGAUAGGGCUCCCUCAUCACUGUCUCUGGCUCCCAAGUCGCAUUCGGCUCCUCGUGAUUACUCCACUGCACUUUUACAUACGGGAUGACCCUAUUGCGCAAUUCUUUCGUCUCCCGAGCAAGAAUCCGCAACGGUCGCUCCUCGUAUCUCAGAUCCUUGUCAAUCUCUAGUGUAGUGAAGUCGAUCACGUGAAAAGGAUCGAAAACAUAUCUCCUCAAAGUCGAGACGUGGAACAUAUCAUAAAUGUCUGCUAGCCGUGGAGGUAGAGCAAUCCUGUAGGCAACCGGUCCAACUCGCUCCAAUAUCUCAAAAGGGCCAACGAAACGUGGAUUGAGCUUUCCACGUACUCCAAAUCGACAAAUCCCUCUGGACAGCGAAACUUUGAGAAAUACAUGAUCUCCAACCUGAAACUCUAAGUCUCGUCUCUGGGUAUCGGCAUAGCUCUUCUGGCGGCUCCGGGAUGUCAAAAGGUGUCGUCGAACAACUCUCACCUUUUUCCCAGCCUCUAGCAAGAUCUCAGGCCUUAGUGUCUUCCUCUCACCCACAUCACUCUAAAACAAAGGGGAUCGAUAUCUGUGUCCCUACAACGCCUCAAACGAAGCCAUCUGGAUGCUCGUUUGAUAGCUGUUGUUGUACGCAAACUCAGCGAGUCUCAAAUGUCGAUACCACCCUCCUCCAAAGUUCAGGACGCAUGCCCUCAGUAUGUCCUCUAAAGUCUGUAUGGUCCUCUCUGACUGACCAUCUGUCUGUGGGUGAAACGUCGUGUUGAAAUGCAGCUGUGUACCCAAAGUUGUCUGAAGACUCCGCCAAAAAUGCGGAACAAACCUCGGGUCCCUGUCCGAUACAAUCAACAUCGGCAUACCAUGCAGCCUGACGAUUUCAUCUAGGUAUAGCUGCGCGAGCCUCUCUCUGGACCAGGUGGUCUGAACUGGUAGGAAGUGAGCAGACUUAGUCAGUCUGUCCACUAUCACCCAAAUAGCAUCGAAACCACCCUGUGCUCUCGGUAAUCCCACGACGAAGUCCAUCGUGAUCUGCUCCCAUUUCCACUCGGGUACUGGCAGACUCUGAAGUUUGCCAGCAGGUACCUGAUGCUCGGACUUUACCUGUUGACAAGUUAGACACUGAGUAACAAAUCUGCCAAUGUCCCUCUUCAUUCCAUUCCACCAGAACUGUGCCUUCAAGUCCUUAUAUAUCUUGGUUCCACCAGGGUGAACAGUAUAAGGAGAACAAUGAGCCUCUCUCAAAAUAUCCUCUCGGAUCUCUAAACCCAUGGCACACACAGUCGGUCCCUGUACCGCAGUACUCCUGAACUGUCUACUACAAAGCCCUCAGCCUGUCCCCUGUCUAACUGCUCUCGAAUCCUCAACAAGUGUGGAUCUCCACUCUGUUUCUCUCGGAUCCUAUCCAACAGAGUGGGCUGCAAGACUAAAGUCAUCAGUCUCACAAUAGACCCAGAAGACACUAUCUCGAGCCUUAGCCGCUGCAGCUCCUCGAGUAACAGCCUCUGCUGUGUGAUCAUCAAACUCAGGCUUUGCACUGCCUCCUGCUCAACGCAUCUGCCACCACAUUCGCCCUACCGGGAUGAUACUGAAUACUAACAUCGUAGUCAUUCAGUAAUUCCAACCACCGGCGCUGCCUCAGGUUCAGCUUUCUCUGGGUGAACAGAUACUUGAGACUUUUAUGAUCGGUAAGAACCUCGCAGUGCUCGCCAUACAAGUAAUGCCGCCACAACUUCAAAACAAAGACUACCGCGGCAAGCUCCAAGUCAUGCGUGGGGUAAUUCUUCUCAUAAUCCUUUAACUACCAUGAAGCAUAAGCAAUUAUCCUACCAUGCUGCAUCAGCACACAGCCCAGCCCGAUGUGCGAUGCAUCACUGUAGAUCACAAAUCCUUCCCCCAUCACAGUAAAGGCAAGGAUAGGAGCUGACGUCAACCUCUGUCUUAACUAAUCAAAGCUCCUCUGACAAUCCUCACUCCAGAUGAACCAAAUCCCCUUUCGAGUCAAUCGAGUGAGGGGUAUGGAAAGCUUCACAAAGUCUUCCACAAACCGACGGUAAUAACCAGCAAGUCCCAGGAAACUCCUCACCUUUGUCACCGUCGUCGGUCUGGGCCAAUCUCGAAUAGCAUCGAUUUUCUUCGGGUCCACUGCUACUCCCUCUGCAGAAAUCACGUGCCCCAAGAAAGCAACCUCCCGCAACCAGAACUCGCACUUCUUCAACUUGGCAUACAACUUCUUCUCUCGCAGAAGUUGUAGCACAGUCCUCAAGUGCUCCUCAUGCUCGGCAUCACUCCGGGAGUAUAUCAAAAUAUCGUCGAUGAAGACUACCACAAAUCUAUCCAAGAACGGCUUGAACACCAUGUUCAUCAAAUUCAUAAAUGCAGCAGGGAUAUUUGUCAAUCUAAAAGGCAUGACCGUAAACUCAUAAUGCCUAUACCGAAUCCGAAAAGCCGUCUUGGGAACAUCCUCGGCCCUCACCCUCAGCUGGUGGUAACCGGACUGGAGAUCAAUCUUCGAGAUGACAUAAGAUCCCUGCAGCUAAUCAAACAGAUCAUCAAUACGCGGCAAAGGAUACAUAUUCUUGAUGGUCACUUUAUUCAGCUCUCGGUAAUCAACACAUAACCUAAGUGAACCAUCCUUCUUCUUUACAAAUAACACUGGUGCUCCCCAAGGCGACACACUGGGUCUCGCAUACCCCUUAUCCAUCAGAUCCUGAAGCUGCGCCUUUAGCUCUCUCAGCUCUGCCGGUGUCAUUCGAUAAGGUACCUUCGAGAUUGGUGCAGUUCUUGAAACUACAUCAAUCACAAACUAAAUCUCCCUCUCCGGCGGCAACGUCGUCAACUCCGAAAAAAAUAUAUCCGAAAACUCGCGGACUAUAGGGAUAUCCUCGAGUCCCGGCGCCGCUGUAGGUACCUCUACCACCGUCGCCAGAAAAGCAACACAUCCCCUGCUCAUCAGCUGUCGAGCCCUCGCCGAAGAUAUCCAGGUGGCAAACAAUAUACUCCUGCAGCCUCUGAAAGUAAACUCCUCCUGGCCUGGAUCGCCGAACGUCACCAUCCUCGCUCCACAGUCGAUCGUACCAUAAUACCGCGCCAGCCAAUCCAUACCGAGCACUACGUUGAAGUCCUGCAACUGCCCUAAAAUCGACAAGUCUGCGGGCAUGAUCCACGAGUCUAACUACACCAGACACGACGAACAACACUCUACAACCUGUAACACAUGGUCGGAGAUCUGCACCUCUCGUGACAAUGCAACAAUGCAAAUACUCGACUAACAAAGGAGUGAGAUGCACCAGUAUCAAAAAGAGUACGAGCUCUAAUGCAAGAAAUCAAAAUAAUACCUGCCACCACUCGGUCGGCUACUGUAGAGUCCUCCACCUGAGCUGCAUAGACACGGCCACUCGGUGCCUGCUGUCGCCGCUCACUCUGACGCGGCACAGAUGCCUUAUCCUCCUGGUGGUAACUCGGGGCUGCUCCAAAAGACUGCUGGAAUGCUGGCUGAACUGAGGCUGUGGAUGGUGCUGACGAUGCUGCUCGAGGACAGGCUGAUCUCAUAUGCCCGGGCUGACAGCAACUGUAACACCUCCCUCUCUCUGCUCGCACUGCCGGGGCCAGUGGGGUCCUCCACAGAUCACACACUGCGGUGUCCUCGGUGGCUGUCCCUGUUGACGGGAUUCCCCAGAACGCUGAAGCCCCGAAAACCCACGACCCUGAGAGCGUGAUCGUGGCAGUCUCGGCGGAUGCCUGCUGCUCGACUGUUCAGCAUCAUCUGAAAAGGGCCGCUUCCGGUCCUGACUCUGCCCCACCGCCUGAGUCCUCUCCCGAAUGGCAACAUCAUGUCACGCCCCGUGGCCGAUUUUAAAAGCCUUUUUAAAAUUCAUUACCAUUUUGAAAACAGAGCUGCGGAAGACAUGCCAUUUUGUUUUUUAACUUGGCCCACGUGACGUACAGACUUGUCACAAAUAUAAAGUUCCUCUGUCCACUCGGAUAGAGUCUACUUUGUAUUUGCACGGCGUACCAACAGCUACAUCAGGAUCUCAACUACAAUUUGCAAUUACCAAUCAUCAAUCAAUUCAUGAUAUGCAAUAACAUACAGUUAUCGAUCCUUAGAGAUGAUGCAUGCCUCUAAGCACUCCUUACGCGCUGGAUGAUACAAUGCACAAUAGAACAAUCAUCCUAUUUUAAAAGUGCUCCCCACCUGAAAGUUUUGUUUUUAAACUCUAAUUCGAUCAGUCAUAAAACAAUCGAAAAUUUUUUAAAAAAAUUAUUUUCCACUCGAAAACUCUAUUUUGAAAACCGACUACCUCGAGGGGUAGAAAACAACGAUGUGUAAAUAUACGAAAAUUCGAUAUCCAUAAAACCAACAUCCAGAUCCACAAACCUCUGUUCAAAUGCAUAAAUAACGAAAACAUCCAUAACUAAAAUCAGUUCACAACAUUCAAGCAAUCAGAGGAUUAUCUAACCGAACCAUUUAUUUAAACUACUAAAAGCAGGAAUGAAAUAACCAGGGUGACGGUCGCUAUACCAGACUAGCUAGAUCGUCUUCUCGUCGAGCCCAAAGUCCAACUCCUUGCCCGAAUCACCUGGAAAAAUGGGGAGUGGGAAACCGCAACCAUAGUUUUCCAGUGGGUACGACAGAGCCACGAAGGCAAGCCGUAAUCACCGAAAACCAAAGGAGAUAGAUAGACAAGUAUAUAUAUAUGCUGAUAUGAAACAGAACUACAGUAGCUAUAACAGAUCUAAUAAGAAGCAAGAAGUAAGACUGCUACUGUAUAGAAAAUAAUGCAAAUAUGCCUCAAAGUAAUCAACCAGAAACUGUACCGAGCUGCCUGUCACUAACUGCACCGACCUGAUCCAUCCACCCCACAGGACGACCUAUCCGGAUAAGUACACCUCCGAUCGGUGGCCAAACCGAUCCGGUGUCAUGAAUACCCCCAAGUGCUGUGACUAAGUCAUGCUGGUAUGCUCAAACAAAAAUCGGCUGAAGCCGGUGCCUAGGCCGAAGCCAACAACAAGGGCGUACAACGCCGAAACAUGAUAGAUGCUAGGGCGUACAACGCCGAACCAUGAUCAACCAGAUCGAAACACAUGACAAAGGAGUCGAUGUGUUGCCUGGACCCAAGGUCCACAGAGAUAUCGAAAUAUAAAUGCCAACCUGCUCUACAUGUCUAUCAACAACUAAUAGAUGCAGCCAAGAAAGUAAGAUAUACUAAUGAUAACCAAGCAAUGACAUGUAGAGACUACAAUAAUGGAAUAGAAAAAUAGAAAAAGGUGAAACGCUCUCACCGACUAUCAGCUCGAAGCACCCACCUGUCACAAUCGCAUCGGAAAACCUGGAUGCAUACAAGUCGACCGGACCUACAAAGGUCCACUGGGUCAGUAUCCAACCUACUAACCCAAAGCACAAGACUCACAAACCCCCACACAGAUCCCUGAAUCGGAUUCCCAAAACCGAUCACCGUAACUGACUGGAAGUUCCGAAAACCACACCGGGACGCCGUCGGGACCCACUAUGUGUCCCGAAAACUCACGACUCAUGUCACGAGUCACCCGUUGCCACAAAACAGUCCGAUAUGGAUGUCCUGGUAGCAAACACAAGAUAACAUAACCCAACAAUUAUCGUCGAAUAAUUGUUCGGAUCCGGAUUUUUGGAAGUGUCUAUUUCGACACCGAAACCUAUCGUCGCUCACCCAUCAUCACCGAACCCACAAAAUGAUGAUGGUGACCAGCCAACAAAGCUCAGCGACAAUUCACAGGACAACCAAACCGUGUCAGAAAAAAUCCGAAUCGAAACCGCGUUCUUUCGGCGAAUUUUGUCAAAAAACGCACCGAAAUCGACUCUUCGAUUUCCGCAAAGGCUAUCGGAUCAUGGACAAUCAGUCCAGAGGUCACCGCACAUGCAAACACACUACCCACAGUAGCCACAAGGUGCACAAAUGCAUAAAAGCCCCUCACUUUACAUAAAAUCCUAUCAUUUUAUGUAAAUCGGGCGAUCAAGUGACUCAUUCACGCAAACUGAGGACUCCCGAGGUCCGUCGAGACACGUACUGACAGGUCUCGACGUGCCGAAGACCGUGUUCAUGGUCCGGAGUACAAUGGCUCACUGUGGGAAGCGCGGGAGCAACCCGAAGGUUCUGCAAACAGCGCAGUCGGGGAAAAUCAAGCCGAACAGGCCGAUUCGACAUCCGCUGAUCCAAAGUAAAGUGAGCACUGUGAUCAGCACAGACCAGCGAUCACCGUGCUCACCUUCAGAGGCAUCGGGACAGCCUCGGAUCGCCAGAAAAGUGCGCGCACACACGGAACAGCAGCCGAAAAGGCCCAAAAAGGGCCGACACCGCCUAAACAGCGGAACGAAGCCUUCCCGACAAAAAAAAAUAAGGUGAGCAUGAUGAUCAGCGAUGAGUCACGAUCAUCGUGCUCCCUUCUGCAGUGAUCGGGAUGUCUCGGGAAGCUCGGAACAGUAAACCAUCCAAAAUAAGCCCUAUUUCGGGUUUGGCCGGAGCAAGCUUGCUCCGGCCGGCCUCCGGCGGCACGGCAAGGCGCGCGCGGGCCAGGGAUGGGUAGGAGGGAGUGGACGAGCAAGGUUCUCACCUCAGUUGGCAGCGAGGAGCGGCGGUGGUGACGGCGGAACCAACCAAGCCCGCACAAGAUCAAGCUCGGGUUCUAAGGGCAGCUGCGGCCACGGCGGCGGUCGGGGCGCUCAGGGACGGCGGCAGAGGGUUGCUGGAGUCCGGAGGGCAGCCUCGGGCACGGCCUCGAGCGGCGGGGAGGCGGCCCCGAGCGGCGGCGGCGCGGGGGUCGGAGACGUGGCUUGCCUCGGCCUGCACAUGUCUUAGGCGGCUGCAGCUGGCCGAGGCGGCGGCGACGGCCCGCAGGGGCGACGGCGACCGGCCGGGAAGGUCGGUGAGGCCCAGGGGAAGGCCGCGGGAGCGACCCCAAGCGGCUGCGGCGCGGAGAAGAGGCCGCACGAUCUGCUCGGCCUGGGCUAGGGCUAGGUGGCUGCAGGCGGCUACAGCGCGGCGCGGCGGCACUCGAGGAAGGCGGCGGUCGGCGGGGAAACUCUGACAGUGUCUGGGCGACGCAGGCAAGGUGUAGGGAAGCAAUGCAGCCUCGGCCAAGGCUUCAACCCAAGAAGAAGAGAGGGGUGGAGAGAGAGAGAGAUGGAGAGGAAGGCUGCGGCUGCUACUGGCCGGCCGAGGCUCAGUCAUCAGCGGGCGGGGGUGGCGCAGCAAGGGCAGGGCAACCAAGGGAGGUGGCUGGGGGUUUAGCUCGGGCUAGGGUUAGGGUUUUCUUAGUGCAAACGCUAAAACAAGCAUAUAUACAAGGUGCAAUAUGCGAGUUAGCCCACCAAACCUCAGUAUUUAGUACUGAGUCUCUCACAACGCGUGUACAAUGCGAGAAUGCCUCUCCACGUGCGAUCUCACGCAAAACGGUACAUAAAAUAUCGCGACUUUUGCAAAAUUACCGUUUUGUCAUCACCGACCUCUCCUCGAACAAUGCGUAAUAUCCCCAAAUCCGUUCGUCAGAUUUGUGAACGGAUAACACCAAUGCGAUCAGCACAACUAAGACAACAAACCUACGAUUUUGGUUCGCCUCAAUCGGUCACGGAUUCGCGACGAAAUCUGUUUUCUCUCCAAAAGGCCAAAAUAACGCACAAUUACAUAGAGAACAUGUAUUUUCAGAUUUUCUCGAAAUCCGCGGGUCAAACCCAAAAUCCGUCAGCUCCAUCGGUUCCAAAAUAGCUAAAUCGUUCGAAACGAGCUAUUGGACUGCUAUGAACGGAGUCCGAUACGCGCCAGAAGCCAACUUCAUGCAUUGGCCUCUUCGGAAAACCGAGUUACUAUUCACUUUCGGUGAAUACUGAAGAUCGCGUAAAAUCUCCGUUCUAACUCAUUUCCUCCCGAAACUUGACGAGUGCUUUUGUAAUUAAAUUACACACAAAAAUAUCGUCAACAGAGAAUCUAACUAUACAGUGAAAUUCUCAGUCCUUACACAUCACCUCUCUCAACCCAAAGAGUCUGCCCCAUCAACGCAUCCAAGGUCCGCAACCUCUGCGUAUGAACCAACCGGAAGAUCUCGGGACUCAAACCUUGCUCAAAGAGGUAAACUCGGUGCGCCUCAUCCUUGGCCACAAACAGCACACAGUUCAGCAGUCGCGUGAACUCCCGAAUGUACUUCUGAACUGUCCGCUCACCCUGCUGGAUCUUCUUCUGAUCCUCCUCGAGCUUCUGUUUCACACUAUUGGGAAAAUAUAUCCUGAACAGCAUUCCACAGAACUCGUUCCACUUUAUAUACAGCGCUACUAGCCCAUAGUCUCGCCUCAUCCUCCUCCACCAGGCGUAAGCAUCGCCUGACAAACAGUGGACUCCCAGAUGUACCUGCUCUCUCUCUAAUACGAAUAGAUCCUCAAAUAGCUUCUCCAUCGCACUGACCUAGCCCUCAACCACCCAGGCCUCAGUGCAACUGCCAUCGAAGAUCGGCGGAUCAAAACGGCGAAACCGAGCCAGCUUCUCUGUCAACCGCUCCUCCUCGGUCUCUGUCAUCUGUACUGGCCCCCUAGCAGGCACAACGGGUGCCACAGGAAUCUCCACUGGCGGGGGUACAACUGCGGCUGGUGCUGCCGCCGGUGUGGUCGUAGAUGGAAUAGCCUGCUUUGGUGCGCUCGGUACUGUACUCUGUGACUAAGCCACCCUCUCACACAACCUCUGCAACAACUUUUCCUAUCGCCUCGUCAUCUCCGUCAAGAUAGCCAACUGUGCACUCAAAUCAGGAGGUGCACCUACCUCCGUUCGGGCCCUCUGCUCUACAACAAGGGGUGCACUCGCCUCUACCUGCUCCGGCAUCUCAGGAGAUACGGCACGAUCCUGAGUCAACUGUGCAUGAUCCCGCGUAGACGGUCGACAUCGGCGACGAUACAUAGCUGCAAGAAACAGAACGGGGUCAGAUCAAACAAACACUCUCGACCCAAUCAAUGAAAGUCUAGAAGGUGGCCCCCUGUUUCUCCUCAAAAUUAUGUCGUCUGCAGCCAACAUAAUUUUUCUGGACCGAAACAGAAACUCCUUCAAUCACUUCCUCCGCUCUAGGAGGAGUUAGAACAAUCAAUCAGUGACUUUCGGGAUAAAUCACGCUUCUCGCGUCUUGCCUUUCUAAGGUUUGCCAACUUAGGUUUUCUAUGUCCCAACGACCUAAUACAAAACUUUGAUACCAACUUAAUCUGUCACGCCCCGUAUUGUACGUUCCCCGGGCACGCUGACAAAUCCGCCGUAUACAAAAGAAUUUUUUCUAUAUACGAAACGAUAGCUGUACCUGUAAAACAUACAAUACUAGAAACAGUAGUAUAGAGCUGUUCGAAUAAAACUGGUAUAAACAGGAACAAGUUGCAUAUACAUACAUACGUUCAGGUACAAAAAAAGCUCGCCCAGCGAGAUACAACAAGUAUGUAUAAGAAAGUCAAAAACUAGCACUACCUGUAGCUGGUAACCUCUCAAACAGCAGUAACUGGGAAGCGCUCUAACUGGCAACGCCCUUGCCACGAUCAGUCUCCGAGGAAGUAACAGUCAGAACAGCAGGCUCUGCAGAAAUAUGAUAACAACUGGGCGUGAGAACUACUAUAAAAACAAGUAGUCCUCAGUGGGUACUGUCCUAAACAUCGUCGGUCUACCCACUAAGUCUACAGAAGGGAGCAAGGAUAG